Molecule: non-coding RNA, 85 nt
Organism: Felis catus (domestic cat)
Lineage: Eukaryota; Metazoa; Chordata; Mammalia; Carnivora; Felidae
Source: Rfam
GCCUGGGUGGCUCAGUCGGUUGAGCGUCCGACUUCGUCUCGGGUCAUGACCUCACAGUUCGUGGGUUCGAGCCCCGCGUCGGGCU